ACGUGAUAGCCUGCGAAAAGCUCCGGGGAGGCGGCAAAUAUCCUUUGAUCCGGAGAUGUCUGAAUGGGGGAACCCACCUACUUUAAGGUAGGUAUUGCAACAUGAAUACAUAGUGUUGCAAGGCGAACGAGGGGAAGUGAAACAUCUCAGUACCCUUAGGAAAAGAAAUCAAUUGAGAUUCCCUCAGUAGCGGCGAGCGAACGGGGAUCAGCCCAUUAAGUUAUGUGUGUUUUAGUGGAACGCUCUGGGAAGUGCGAACGUAGAGGGUGAUAUUCCCGUACACGAAAGGGCACACAUAAUGAUGACGAGUAGGGCGAGGCACGUGAAACCUUGUCUGAAUAUGGGGGGACCAUCCUCCAAGGCUAAAUACUCCUGACUGACCGAUAGUGAACCAGUACCGUGAGGGAAAGGCGAAAAGAACCCCUGUGAGGGGAGUGAAAUAGAUCCUGAAACCGCAUGCAUACAAGCAGUGGGAGCACCUUCGUGGUGUGACUGCGUACCUUUUGUAUAAUGGGUCAGCGACUUAUAUUCAGUAGCGAGGUUAACCGUAUAGGGGAGCCGUAGAGAAAUCGAGUCUUAAUAGGGCGUUUAGUUGCUGGGUAUAGACCCGAAACCAGGCGAUCUAUCCAUGAGCAGGUUGAAGGUUGGGUAACACUAACUGGAGGACCGAACCCACUGUCGUUGAAAAGCCAGGGGAUGACUUGUGGAUAGGGGUGAAAGGCUAAUCAAGCCUGGUGAUAGCUGGUUCUCCCCGAAAGCUAUUUAGGUAGCGCCUCGGACGAAUACCAUAGGGGGUAGAGCACUGUUUCGGCUAGGGGGUCAUCCCGACUUACCAAACCGAUGCAAACUCCGAAUACCUAUGAGUACUAUCCGGGAGACAGACUGCGGGUGCUAACGUCCGUAGUCAAGAGGAAAACAAUCCAGACCGCCAGCUAAGGCCCCAAAAUCAUAGUUAAGUGGGAAACGAUGUGGGAAGGCAUAGACAGCUAGGAGGUUGGCUUAGAAGCAGCCACCCUUUAAAGAAAGCGUAAUAGCUCACUAGUCGAGUCGGCCUGCGCGGAAGAUGUAACGGGGCUAAAACUAUGUGCCGAAGCUGCGGAUGUAUACUUUGUAUACGUGGUAGGGGAGCGUUCUGUAAGCCGAUGAAGGUGUGUUGAGAAGCAUGCUGGAGGUAUCAGAAGUGCGAAUGCUGACGUGAGUAACGACAAAACGGGUGAAAAACCCGUUCGCCGAAAGACCAAGGGUUCCAGUCCAACGUUAAUCGGGGCUGGGUGAGUCGACCCCUAAGGCGAGGCCGAAAGGCGUAGUCGAUGGGAAAAUGGUUAAUAUUCCAUUACUUCUGUGUAAUGCGAUGAGAGGACGGAGAAGGCUAAAUCAGCCUGGCGUUGGUUGUCCAGGUGAAAGGAUGUAGGCAUGUAUCUUAGGCAAAUCCGGGGUACUCUAUGCUGAGAUCUGAUAGCAAGCUGUACUUGUACAGCGAAGUGGUUGAUGCCAUGCUUCCAGGAAAAGUCUCUAAGCUUCAGUUACACAGGAAUCGUACCCGAAACCGACACAGGUGGUCAGGUCGAGUAGACCAAGGCGCUUGAGAGAACUCUGCUGAAGGAACUAGGCAAAAUGGUACCGUAACUUCGGGAGAAGGUACGCUGUUGUUGGUGAUGGAACUCGCUUCCUGAGCUGACGACAGCCGCAGAAACCAGGCCGCUGCAACUGUUUAUUAAAAACAUAGCACUCUGCAAACACGAAAGUGGACGUAUAGGGUGUGAUGCCUGCCCGGUGCUGGAAGGUUAAUUGAUGGGGUUAGCGUAAGCGAAGCUCUUGAUCGAAGCCCCAGUAAACGGCGGCCGUAACUAUAACGGUCCUAAGGUAGCGAAAUUCCUUGUCGGGUAAGUUCCGACCUGCACGAAUGGCAUAAUGAUGGCGGCGCUGUCUCCAGCAGAGGCUCAGUGAAAUCGAAAUCGCUGUGAAGAUGCAGUGUACCCGCGGCUAGACGGAAAGACCCCGUGAACCUUUACUGCAGCUUGACACUGAACUUUGACCUUACUUGUGUAGGAUAGGUGGGAGGCUUUGAAGCUGGAACGCUAGUUCCAGUGGAGCCGUCCUUGAAAUACCACCCUGGUAAUGUUGAGGUUCUAACUCUGUCCCGUGAUCCGGGACGAGGACCGUGUCUGGUGGGUAGUUUGACUGGGGCGGUCUCCUCCUAAAGAGUAACGGAGGAGUACGAAGGUGCGCUCAGCGUGGUCGGAAAUCACGCGUAGAGUAUAAAGGCAAAAGCGCGCUUAACUGCGAGACCCACAAGUCGAGCAGGUACGAAAGUAGGUCUUAGUGAUCCGGUGGUUCUGUAUGGAAGGGCCAUCGCUCAACGGAUAAAAGGUACUCUGGGGAUAACAGGCUGAUACCGCCCAAGAGUUCAUAUCGACGGCGGUGUUUGGCACCUCGAUGUCGGCUCAUCUCAUCCUGGGGCUGAAGCAGGUCCCAAGGGUAUGGCUGUUCGCCAUUUAAAGAGGUACGCGAGCUGGGUUUAGAACGUCGUGAGACAGUUCGGUCCCUAUCUACCGUGGGCGCUGGAAAUUUGAGAGGAUCUGCUCCUAGUACGAGAGGACCAGAGUGGACGAACCUCUGGUGUACCGGUUGUGACGCCAGUCGCAUCGCCGGGUAGCUAUGUUCGGAAGGGAUAACCGCUGAAAGCAUCUAAGCGGGAAGCCUACCUCAAGAUAAGAUUUCCCUAGGACUUUAUGUCCUCUAAAGAGCCGUUCGAGACUAGGACGUUGAUAGGUUGGAUGUGGAAGCAUAGUGAUAUGUGAAGCUGACCAAUACUAAUUGCUCGUGAGGCUUGACUAU
RNAcentral lists this ribosomal RNA (2838 nucleotides) under Acinetobacter baumannii. Its description in RNAcentral is "partial 23S ribosomal RNA". It matches the Rfam family "Bacterial large subunit ribosomal RNA". Lineage: Bacteria; Pseudomonadati; Pseudomonadota; Gammaproteobacteria; Moraxellales; Moraxellaceae. The record is from RNAcentral.